CCCGCUCAGAAACUCAAAGGAAUUGACGGGGGCCCGCACAAGUGGUGGAGCAUGUGGUUUAAUUCGACGCUACGCGAAGAACCUUACCUGGGUUUGACAUCCACUGGAAGGCGCUAGAAAUAGUGUCCGCCCUUCGGGGCUGGUGGACAGGUGCUGCAUGGCUGUCGUCAGCUCGUGUCGUGAGAUGUUGGGUUAAGUCCCGCAACGAGCGCAACCCUCGUCGUUAGUUGCCAUCAUUAAGUUGGGAACUCUAGCGAGACUGCCGGUGACAAACCGGAGGAAGGUGAGGAUGACGUCAAGUCAGCAUGGCCCUUACGUCCUGGGCGACACACGUACUACAAUGCGAGGGACAGAGAGCAGCCAACCCGCGAGGGAGAGCGAACCUCUUAAACCCUGGCACAGUUCAGAUUGCAGGCUGCAACUCGCCUGCAUGAAGGAGGAAUCGCUAGUAAUCGCAGGUCAGCAUACUGCGGUGAAUCCGUUCCCGGGCCUU
RNAcentral lists this ribosomal RNA (493 nucleotides) under uncultured Planktothrix sp. Its description in RNAcentral is "bacterial SSU rRNA". It matches the Rfam family "Bacterial small subunit ribosomal RNA", at positions 888 to 1382 of the family's 1533-position model. The record is from RNAcentral. Lineage: Bacteria; Bacillati; Cyanobacteriota; Cyanophyceae; Oscillatoriales; Microcoleaceae.